CGCUUUACGUCCUUUGUGAUGAUUUCCGGUGUGUGACUGAAGUUAAUGCUCGUGGUUGCUAUCAGUAGGUCUUAUGUAUGGUAUCUCGAAUCAUCUACUUGCUUUCGGUGAUUGCAUCUUUUGACAAGCUGUAGUAUUCUACUGAAUACUUAAGAAAAUUACAGAGGUUUGACAGAGCCUGUGGACUUCAUGUUGUAGAGGGUUACAGUCCCUUUACAAGUAAUCGGUGUACCGUCAAGAGCAGAUGCAUUCCAUACUAUGGCUGAAUCGGGGCAGUAUAUUAACUUUCUAUUGGCUUUAGUGGCUUUGUGCUGAGUGCUGUGGCAGGAAAACAAUAAACACAUGGUGUGAUGUGAGGAUUUACCACAGUAGUCUGGUCUGUUAAAUGUUGGGACAGCUUUGUUGGGUUUUUAAGAUUUCUGCUUUCAUUUCCUGUCUGAAGGUCAAUUUUACUGUUUUAAGAAGCAAAAUAUGCAAUGCAAAAUACAUGAACUGGUAUGUAAAUAUUGAAAAUGUGUAAUAAAGUUUGACAAGUGAUGCAUUA
This is a long non-coding RNA of Protopterus annectens (West African lungfish), 544 nucleotides long. RefSeq lists it as uncharacterized. The record is from RefSeq and is a predicted model, not a curated record. Lineage: Eukaryota; Metazoa; Chordata; Ceratodontiformes; Protopteridae. The transcript is spliced from 3 exons.